AACGAACGCUGGCGGCAUGCCUAACACAUGCAAGUCGAACGAGACCUUCGGGUCUAGUGGCGCACGGCUGCGUAACGCGUGGGAACCUGCCCUUAGGCUCGGAAUCACUCCCCGAAAGGGGUCCUAAUACCGGAUAAUGUCUUCGGACCAAAGAUUUAUCGCCUUUGGAUGGGCCCGCGUUGGAUUAGCUAGUUGGUAGGGUAAUAGCCUACCAAGGCGACGAUCCAUAGCUGGUCUGAGAGGAUGAUCAGCCACACUGGGACUGAGACACGGCCCAGACUCCUACGGGAGGCAGCAGUGGGGAAUAUUGGACAAUGGGCGAAAGCCUGAUCCAGCAAUGCCGCGUGAGUGAUGAAGGGCUUAGGGUUGUAAAGCUCUUUUACCCGGGAUGUUAAUGACAGUACCGGGAGAAUAAGCUCCGGCUAACUACGUG
Molecule: ribosomal RNA, 433 nt
Filed under: uncultured bacterium
Lineage: Bacteria
Description: partial 16S ribosomal RNA
Rfam family: Bacterial small subunit ribosomal RNA
Source: RNAcentral